UAUUAAAAAUUUCAUCCAUUUGUUUCGUUAAAAAUUAACGUGACUAACGGAAUAACCAGAUAGUGACACAUGCCACGUGUAACGUCCAACGACCAAACUUUAACAAUAAAAAUUAAUGAAAUUUUUAACA
Gossypium arboreum is the source of this 130-nucleotide non-coding RNA. The record is from Rfam. NCBI's taxonomy places the organism in Eukaryota, Viridiplantae, Streptophyta, Magnoliopsida, Malvales, Malvaceae.